CCCUAUGGGGUGCAGCAGUUGAGAAUCUUUUGCAAUGCACGAAAGUGUGACAAAGCGAGCCAGAGUGUUUAUCUUUUUUGAUAAACUUUUGUUAACUGUAAAAAAGUUGACGAAUAAGGACUGGGCAAGACCGGUGCCAGCCGCCGCGGUAAUCCCGGCGGUCCAAGUCGCAGCCACAAUUAUUGGGUCUAAAACAUCCGUAGCUUGUUUUGUAAGUCUCUUGUGAAAUUCCACGUCUUAAACGUGGAGCGUGCAAGAGAUACUACAUAACUAGAGACCGGAGGAUGUAGGGAGUACGGUUGAAGUAGUGGUAAAAUACGUUGAUCUUAACUGGACUAACAACAGCGAAGGCACCCUACAAAUACGGUUCUGACAGUGAGGGAUGAAGGCUAGGGGCGCAAAACGGAUUAGAUACCCGUGUAGUCCUAGCAGUAAACACUGCACACUAAACAUUAGUACCUCCUCGAGAGGUAUUGGUGCUGUAAGGAAGCUGAAGAGUGUGCUACCUGGGAAGUAUAGUCGCAAGGCCGAAACUUAAAGGAAUUGGCGGGGGAGCACUACAACGAGUGACGCGUGCGGUUCAAUUAGAUUCCACACCGUGAACCUCACCAGGACCGACUGCAGAAUGAAGGUCAGUUUGAAGAACUUACCUGACACGCAGAGAGGAGGUGCAUGGCCAA
RNAcentral lists this ribosomal RNA (680 nucleotides) under uncultured archaeon. RNAcentral's name for it is "bacterial SSU rRNA". It matches the Rfam family "Archaeal small subunit ribosomal RNA", at positions 321 to 1001 of the family's 1478-position model. The record is from RNAcentral.